Molecule: long non-coding RNA, 284 nt
Organism: Hirundo rustica (Barn swallow)
Lineage: Eukaryota; Metazoa; Chordata; Aves; Passeriformes; Hirundinidae
Exons: 3
Source: RefSeq, a predicted model, not a curated record
GGCGGGCGGGGCGGAUGAAGGCGCGGAACCGAACUGUUAGGGGAGAUCUGCUCUGUGUUCACAAGGCGGGGCCGAGGCGGAGUCUGGGCAGGAGCUUAGAUAAGCAGAAAGGUUUUCUAUCCCAUUGGAUAGACCCACCCAGAGCCUAGCUGUGGAAUUACCCCCUUGUAAGGAGUCAUUUUACUUCCCAACCCAGAUGCCAGAACACCAACUGAUCAUAACUUGCUAAGUGCCUGUCUGCCUCGGAAAGCCAUUCCAAGUUAAACUUGACUGGCAGCCUGUGA